AAUGCCCUAGGGGGGCAGCAGUGGGGGAUAUUGCACAAUGGGGGAAACCCUGAUGCAGCGACGCCGCGUGUGGGAAGACGGUCCUCUGGAUUGUAAACCACUGUCCCCAGGGACGAAAAUGACGGUACCUGGGGAGGAAGCUCCGGCUAACUACGUGCCAGCAGCCGCGGUAAUACGUAGGGAGCGAGCGUUGUCCGGAAUUACUGGGUGUAAAGGGAGCGUAGGCGGGGAUGCAAGUUGGGUGUCAAAACUACCGGCUCAACUGGUAGUCGCACUCAAAACUGCAGCUCUUGAGUGAAGUAGAG
RNAcentral lists this ribosomal RNA (305 nucleotides) under uncultured bacterium. RNAcentral's name for it is "bacterial SSU rRNA". It matches the Rfam family "Bacterial small subunit ribosomal RNA", at positions 333 to 656 of the family's 1533-position model. The record is from RNAcentral.